UACGAGGGGGGCGAGCGUUGUUCGGAAUUAUUGGGCGUAAAGGGUGCGUAGGCGGUUUGGUAAGUCUUGUGUGAAAUCUACAGGCUCAACUUGUAGUCUGCACGAGAAACUGCCGGGCUUGAGUGUGGGAGAGGUGAGUGGAAUUCCUGGUGUAGCGGUGAAAUGCGUAGAUAUCAGGAAGAACACCCGUGGCGAAGGCGGCUCUCUGGAACGCAACUGACGCUGAGACGCGAAAGCGUGGGGAGCAAACAGG
Molecule: ribosomal RNA, 253 nt
Filed under: uncultured bacterium
Lineage: Bacteria
Description: partial 16S ribosomal RNA
Rfam family: Bacterial small subunit ribosomal RNA
Source: RNAcentral